RNA transcript from Cucurbita moschata (crookneck pumpkin), 2328 nucleotides. It is a transcript of the gene named SUN domain-containing protein 5-like, with no coding region annotated. The transcript has 3 exons. NCBI's taxonomy places the organism in Eukaryota, Viridiplantae, Streptophyta, Magnoliopsida, Cucurbitales, Cucurbitaceae. The record is from RefSeq and is a predicted model, not a curated record.
GCAGAAAGUAGUUUCCGGUAGUUCUGGAGUUGAGAGCAAUGAAUUAGCCACAAACAAAAAUCCAUGGCGAUUGCAUUUCCAUGUCCAAGCUUCCCAUCACUGAAGAAACGCUCUCUCUCAUCUUCCUCUACCCACUGAUCGAACUCUCGCAUGUUUGUGGUUGAACAUGGAGGUUUCGCGAGAUGAUCUGUUGUGCAUUAGAUACCGGAGUAAGAAGAGGGCUAGAAAUAGCAAGAAAAAUCAUAACAGUGGCGGAAUCGUCGUCAACAACAAUCAAAACCAAAACAACUGCGUUAACAAGAGGACGAGUUUAUACGACUUCUUCUGGUCUUUUCUCUUUUCCCUCUCUUGUUUCGUCUGCUUGUUCUAUUCCAAGCUCGUCCUUGGUUAUGGUGAUUCUGGAGAUUCUUCUUCUGUGAAUAGAAGCGCUAUUUGCCCUAGUCCUGGAAAUCAGAAGCUAGAUGAUCACGCCUAUUCAUCCAUAGCAAAUGGAAGCAGUUGUAUGAACUCUGGAUCGUCUGAACUCAAUGUGUCAAUGAACUGUAAUGAAUCCUAUGUUCAUCACAACUAUGCAAAUUCAAAUUACUCACUUUCAGAGUCAAAGGUAUUUGAAGUAGCAGUCUUGAGUGCACUUGGAUAUCCAUCUUUAAUGUGCAAAGUACAACAGUCAGAGAAGAAACCAAACUCAACAGAACAUCAGGAAGGUCCUAGUGGCAGAAGUGCUCACCCCACAUAUCUUAAUUUGGACGAAUUUCGCAACAUUACGAUGAAAGAUAAAGAAGGCGACAUGCCUGAUCAAUUAGUUAACAUUACUCAUCGGCUUGAACCGGAUGGAUCAGAUUACAACUAUGCAUCUUCAUCGAAAGGUGCAAAGGUUGUUGCUCAUAACAAGGAAGCAAAAGGAGCAUGUAAUAUAUUGGGGAAAGACCAUGAUAAGUAUCUGAGAAACCCUUGUUCUGUGGGAGAAAAGUAUGUUGUGAUUGAGCUCUCAGAAGAGACCUUAGUCGAUGCUGUGAUUGAACAUUAUUCUUCUAAUUUCAAGGCAUUCAAUUUGUCUGGCAGUUUGAGCUAUCCAACGGAGACAUGGCCUAAAUUGGGAAACGUUGUUGCUGCCAAUGUAAAACAUGCUCAAGUCUUCAAGCUUCCUGAACCAAAAUGGGUUAGGUACUUAAAGUUGGAUGUUCUUAGUCAUUAUGGAUCAGAGUUUUACUGCACAAUGAGUAUAGUAGAGGUUUAUGGUGUGGAUGUCAUGGAGAGGAUGCUUGAAGAUCUCUUUGUCACCUCUUCAGACGAAGAGCCUAAUUCAACCGUGUUGACUUCUUCAAAUCAGAUGUUGGUUCAGUUAAUGAAAUAGACAACGAUGACAUUAACUUAUCGACUACCGGUGCAUGGAGAGAAAGUAUGGAUGAUCAGGCAAGUCUUGCUCUAGAGGUUGCAAAAGUUCUCACGAAUGUUAAAUAAGUUUCCUAAUCCUGUAAUUGAAGCUAGACAACAGCUGAACGGUAGACUACCUGGUGACACUGUCCUGAAGAUCUUGAUGCAGAAGAUGAGGUCACUUGAGACUAAAUUAUCUGUGCUAGAGGAUUAUAUCAAAGAAUUGAACCGACGACAAGGGAAACUUCUACCGGAUCUCGAAAAAAAGAUGGCUAGAAUGUCAUUGCUUCUGGAGAAUACUAAAUUAGUUGUCAAGGAUCUCAUGGUUUGGAAGGAGACAAUUCUUAGAUAUUGAAAAAAUUGCAAGCAACCAAGCCAAGCUAGCAAGUAAAGAACCGGCAGUGCUAGCCGUGAGUUUUCUUUUCAUGUGCACUGCAACUCUGAGGCUUCUAUCAGCUAAAAUUCUGAAGUUUUUUUGGUGACUGCCAAUCCCGCAAGGCGGGCUCGGCGAGUAGUGGUUGGGUAUGGAUGCUUGUUAGCAGCAUGAUGACGGUAAUCCUUGCUUUCAUAUAUAGUUAGCAACUGUUGGUCCCUUUUUGUAGUUCUAGUUCCUUCACCCUCCAUAGGUAAAUACAGAGGAGGAGCCGCAUUUACCAGCACUGACCCCAAAACCAAAAAGAGGGUCCCCGGAGAUGAACGAAAAUGGGGUAAGACUAGACUGGAGCCUCUUCCUCUUUAACCAUUAUAUACCUUUUACCUUUUCCUCUUUAAGCAUUUAGUUUAGUAAGUACAAAACUAAAUUGCAAACUAAAUCCGAACCGAGGACCAAAUAUCAAUUAUGUAAUUCUACCUCUAUAAUUUCACUAAAAGCCCUCAAGUUUUAAGGUCUCUAAUUGACAGAUGGGCCAACUUUAGCAGGCAUCCACCAAAAUCAAACAGACAAACACCUUAACU